ACUCCUACGGGAGGCAGCAGUAGGGAAUCUUCCACAAUGGGCGCAAGCCUGAUGGAGCAACACCGCGUGAGUGAAGAAGGGUUUCGGCUACGUAAAGCUCUGUUAGUUAAAGAAGAACACGUAUGAGAGUAACUGUUCAUACGUUGACGGUAUUUAACCAGAAAGUCACGGCUAACUACGUGCCAGCAGCCGCGGUAAUACGUAGGUGGCAAGCGUUAUCCGGAUUUAUUGGGCGUAAAGAGAGUGCAGGUCGGUUUUCUAAGUCUGAUGUGAAAGCCUUCGGCUUAACCGGAGAAGUGCAUCGGAAAACUGGAUAAACUUGAGUGCAGAAGAGGGUAGUGGAACUCCAUGUGUAGCGGUGGAAUGCGUAGAU
Molecule: ribosomal RNA, 373 nt
Filed under: uncultured bacterium
Lineage: Bacteria
Description: bacterial SSU rRNA
Rfam family: Bacterial small subunit ribosomal RNA
Source: RNAcentral